Biomphalaria pfeifferi is the source of this 202-nucleotide non-coding RNA. Lineage: Eukaryota; Metazoa; Mollusca; Gastropoda; Planorbidae. The record is from the annotation of a GenBank genome assembly.
CUCUAGAAUCUUGCAUCAUUUACAACUUCAGUCCUACAGCAUUUACAUGGUACACCAUAAAACAUGACUUCUUGAGUCAUACAACUACAUUGAGUCAUAAAAAUUGACACCUUAAAAAACUUCAGUCAUCAAAACAAAAGCAAAAAUCAAAACUCAAGGGAAAUAAACACACAAAAUGUUUUAACCACAAAAACAAUAUAAU